UUGUUUAAAUUCUUUUGAUUGCAGUAGAAAUCAAAUUUAUUUUGCUGGAGGGCGGCUCGCCUAGUAAAGCACAUUAAAUCACUCUGCUUCCAAGGGAAAGUGAAGCAGCUGAUAUACAUCCCAGCUGGAGAGUUUGCCUGCUCCAGCCAGAUCCUUACUUCAGAUUGCUUGAAAUAAAUUAGCAGGAGGCAAAAUGGACCAUAAACAGCUUACAGGAGGCUGAGGUACAGGAAAUGAUCUUCAACACAGAUGGCCUUCCUGCUCCAGGAUCUCCAAGGAAAAAUGAUGUUUCAGUAAUGGGAUCUUGAAGUACCCCCAGGAGCGGCAGGUGAUGAACGGGCAGACAGCCAGUCCUGACAAAGUAGUGGUAGGAGAUGGUGGUACCAGGGCUUCGGUAUGCUCUUUGGUUCACAGCUCCUUCCAGGUAGCCUGAACUGUUGAAUGCUACAGAGCUUCCAGAGGUGGCUUGAGCAUGACCAUCUUGAAAUGCAAGAGG
This 496-nucleotide long non-coding RNA is filed under the name Dromaius novaehollandiae (emu). RNAcentral's name for it is "lncRNA (ENSDNVG00000011644.1)". Lineage: Eukaryota; Metazoa; Chordata; Aves; Casuariiformes; Dromaiidae. The record is from RNAcentral.